Molecule: long non-coding RNA, 275 nt
Organism: Mizuhopecten yessoensis (Yesso scallop)
Lineage: Eukaryota; Metazoa; Mollusca; Bivalvia; Pectinida; Pectinidae
Exons: 3
Source: RefSeq, a predicted model, not a curated record
UGGAAAAUAUGGUGAUGGUAAUUGUGAUUCAGAUUGUAAUGUAGUCUGUGCCAAUAGCCUUUGUGAUCCAGUGACCGGAGGAUGUGCAUACUGUGCAGUUGGAUAUUACAGGCCUGGAUCUUCAUGUGUAGACUGCCCAUCUAAUUGUUAUGAUAACAUAUGUAAUGUAGAAUCCGGUGUCUGUUCUGACUGUGAGGAGGGAUUCUUCAGCUCGUCCUGUGAUGACUGCUCUGUUGGUUGUAUCAAUCGUGUCUGUGACAAAAUAUCUGGACAUU